UUAAGUAACUUAAAUAUUAAGAAGAAUCUAAUACCUCAAAAACUCAAAAGGUUCCUAUGAAAGGAUAAACCGCAUAGGGUUAGUCGGGGCCUAAGAUAAGAAAUUUAUUGUAAUUGAUGGGAAUCAAGUUAAUAUUCUUGAACCAUAUUUAUAUAGUAUACAAGUAGUGACCUAAAUAUAAAUUCUAAGUAAUAUAAUAAAUGAUUUUUACUUAGAAAUAAAAUUUUUGCUAGAAAAAUGAUAUUGUAUAAUUAUAGAUAUGCCCGUACUAAAACUGACACAAGUGAGUAGGUACUAUAACGUACUAAGAGGACGAAAUAAAUUUCUUUAAGGAACUCGGCAAAACAAUCCUGUAACUUCGGGAUAAAGGAUGCCUAUAAGGCUGCAAUUAAAAAGUUCAAGCGACUGUUUAUCAAAAACACAGGUAUCCGCAAAAUGUAAUUAUGAAGUAAGGAUACUGACACCUGCCCAGUGCUAGUAAGUUAAAAAAAAUUUUUAUGUUAUACAAAUAAUUUUUUUAUAAGCUCUAGUAAACGGCGGCUGUAACUAUAACGGUCCUAAGGUAGCGAAAUUCAUUGUCGGGUAAGUUCCGACCCGCACGAAAGGUGUAACGACUUGAACACUGUCUUUAAGAAAUAUUCGGUGAAAUAGAAAUGUUUGUAAAGAUACAGACUUUUUACAUCAGGACAGAAAGACCCUAUGAAGCUUUACUGCAAUUUGAAAUUGAAAUUAAAUUUUAUUUAUAUAGUGUAAGUGGGAAGUUUAUACUAUUAAUGAAACACCACUUUAAUAAAUUUUAAUUUCUAACUAUAAUUUUUUUAUCAUAUUAUAUAAAAAUUUCAAAAAGGUAGUUUGACUGGGGCGGUUGCCUCCUAAAGAGUAACGGAGGUGCACAAAGGUCUUUUAUUUUAAUAAAAAUAAAAUAUUAAAAUUAAUAAAUGUAAAGGUUAAAUAAUAAGAAGGCUUGAUUGUGAGAGUAACUACUUAAACAAGGACGAAAGUCGGUCUUAGUGAUCCGACAACUCUAAGUGGUAGGAUUGUCGCUUAACGGAUAAAAGUUACUCUAGGGAUAACAGGCUGAUCUCUCCCGAUAGUCCAUAUUGACGGGGAGGUUUGGCACCUCGAUGUCGGCUCGUCGCAUCCUGAGGCUGUAGCAGGUCUCAAGGGUUGGUCUGUUCGCCCAUUAAAGCGGCACGUGAGCUGGGUUCAGAACGUCGUGAGACAGUUCGGUCCGUAUCCGAUGUAAACGUAAGAAUAUUGUAAAGUAUUUCCUUUAGUACGAGAGGACCAAGGAGAUUAAACCUAUAGUAGUUCAGUUAUUUUAUCAUAAGUAUUACGCACUCGU
This 1345-nucleotide ribosomal RNA is filed under the name Toxoplasma gondii CtCo5. Its description in RNAcentral is "bacterial LSU rRNA". It matches the Rfam family "Bacterial large subunit ribosomal RNA", at positions 1302 to 2749 of the family's 2925-position model. Lineage: Eukaryota; Apicomplexa; Conoidasida; Eucoccidiorida; Sarcocystidae. The record is from RNAcentral.